UUUCUUCCCUCCACGGAUGAGUUCAUCUUCCUUCCCUCCACGUCUGCAGCCUCUCUCCCAUUCGCGAUCAGCCUCCAUCGACCACUGAUCAUCCCAAUCUUCUCCCGGAUAACCUCCAAUCCCAGCAACCUCCUGCGUCUUUUCCGUGAUUCAUCCUCAUCUCCUCUCAACUGGGAAUGGAGAGAGAGGUAGGCAGCCUAUAAAAGGGGUCAGGUGAGUCAUUCUUCAGAACCAUUCUCUUCCAUUCCUCCUUCCCCACCGGGGGGCAUUCCCUCUUCCCCACCGGGGACUGAUCCCCAUCAAGAUCUUCUCAGAGGCGGAAUCCCACAAGCUCCCACGGGAAGAAGAAAAAAAUAAAAGGAGAGAGAAGAGUUUGGGUAUUUUGGGAAUAUUUCAAAGGAGCUCUUUUCUGAUCCGAAGAAGUCUGUGGCUUGAUCAUCAGGAAGUUCCAAUAGAAGGGAGGAGAGAAUCAGGGAAGGAAGGAAGAGAUGGAAGCCUUCAGCGUCGCCGCUACCACCUCCCAUACUAUGCAGGGCUGAUUUCUUCACUGGGGCCGAAUGCAGCCCUAACAAAGGGACACGGG
This 583-nucleotide long non-coding RNA is filed under the name Phoenix dactylifera (date palm). RNAcentral's name for it is "long non-coding RNA (PDAC_LNC008460)". Lineage: Eukaryota; Viridiplantae; Streptophyta; Magnoliopsida; Arecales; Arecaceae. The record is from RNAcentral.